CAGUACAACAACAAAAACAAGUUAGCCAAUACCCAAACAUUAUAACGGGUUUGACCACCAACUAAAAGUGCCAAACAAAAAAGAAGCGUUUCUAGCUUUCAACCAACCUAGAGACAAAUAUUUAACUUUGUCAAGCAACCUGGGUAAAGGAGUAAUAGAAUCAUUGAAACACAUAUUGUUACGUUCAGUCCAUAAAACCCAGGCACAAAGAAGCCAAAUAAGCUGGAGAAAAGACUCAGAAGCCUUAUUGCCACUUGUUGAGUGAACAAACUGAACAAAGUGAUCAGACAAAACAUUAGUGUCCACUCCAACAAAACCAAUCCAAUCACGAACCAACGACCAAAGUGAAGCAAAAUACGAACAAGAGAGAAACAAAUGUUGUGCCGAUUCCAAGGCACCGCAACCAN
Molecule: long non-coding RNA, 407 nt
Filed under: Medicago truncatula (barrel medic)
Lineage: Eukaryota; Viridiplantae; Streptophyta; Magnoliopsida; Fabales; Fabaceae
Description: long non-coding RNA (MTRU_LNC005710)
Source: RNAcentral